This 448-nucleotide ribosomal RNA is filed under the name uncultured bacterium. RNAcentral describes it as "bacterial SSU rRNA". It matches the Rfam family "Bacterial small subunit ribosomal RNA", at positions 355 to 825 of the family's 1533-position model. The record is from RNAcentral.
UGGGGAAUCUUGGACAAUGGGCGCAAGCCUGAUCCAGCCAUGCCGCGUGAGUGAAGAAGGCCUUCGGGUUGUAAAGCUCUUUUUACCAGGGACGAUAAUGACGGUACCUGGAGAAUAAGCCCCGGCAAACUUCGUGCCAGCAGCCGCGGUAAUACGAAGGGGGCUAGCGUUGUUCGGAAUUACUGGGCGUAAAGCGCACGUAGGCGGAUUGUUAAGUCAGAGGUGAAAUCCCGGAGCUCAACUUCGGAACUGCCUUUGAUACUGGCAAUCUAGAGUCCGGAAGAGGUUAGUGGAAUUCCCAGUGUAGAGGUGAAAUUCGUAGAUAUUCGCAAGAACACCAGUGGCGAAGGCGGCUCACUGGCCCGGUACUGACGCUGAGGUGCGAAAGCGUGGGGAGCAAACAGGAUUAGAUACCCAAGUAGUCCCUGAGCGGGCUGGCAAGGCGCAU